This 253-nucleotide ribosomal RNA is filed under the name uncultured bacterium. RNAcentral's name for it is "partial 16S ribosomal RNA". It matches the Rfam family "Bacterial small subunit ribosomal RNA", at positions 524 to 776 of the family's 1533-position model. The record is from RNAcentral.
UACAGAGGGCUCAAGCGUUGUUCGGAUUCAUUGGGCGUAAAGGGUGCGUAGGCGGCGCGGUAAGUCGGAUGUGAAAUCUCGGAGCUUAACUCCGAAACUGCAUUCGAUACUGCCGUGCUUGAGGACUGGAGAGGAGACUGGAAUUUACGGUGUAGCGGUGAAAUGCGUAGAUAUCGUAAGGAAGACCAGUGGCGAAGGCGGGUCUCUGGACAGUUCCUGACGCUGAGGCACGAAGGUCAGGGGAGCAAACGGG